Long non-coding RNA from Lycium barbarum (goji berry), 530 nucleotides. RefSeq lists it as uncharacterized. NCBI's taxonomy places the organism in Eukaryota, Viridiplantae, Streptophyta, Magnoliopsida, Solanales, Solanaceae. The record is from RefSeq and is a predicted model, not a curated record. The transcript has 2 exons.
AAUGAAUGCUCUUUUCCAGUAGCUACUUUACCAAAAUCUGUAUCGUUCCUUUCAUUUUUGGGUAUUUUCCACUUCUCCUUUACAUCUACUUUCCACAUUCCUUUUUCAUUUGUCAACCUUGUAUGUUAACUUUUUCUCCAUAUUUUUCUAUUACUAUGCUUAUAUUAGAUAUCGCUAGGCCUUCAGAGAUUUCUCAAGUUCUCCAAAGGCCAAGAAGAUGCCCAGUUCUCCUAGUGAGUGGUUCAGCAGUGGCCAAGAAUUGGCAAAUGUGGUUGUGAACAAUGGAGACGGUUAAAGAUGAAUAGGAAAAGAGAACCCCGGCUACUGAAAAGACUAAAGAGCACUUUGACGUAUUUUAUUUUCGAUUUAUCAGAAGGAGAUAUUGACAAAAUAAGAAUUAAAUAAAAGAGCAUGAUCUUAGGGAGGACAAAUCAGUCCAGAUAUUUUUUUUAUUAGUAAUAAAUAAAAUAAAAUAAUUGCUAUAAAAAAAUUAAAAUAAAAAAGAUAACCGUAAUAUUAUAAACGUGAAG